GGUUAAGCGACUAAGCGUACACGGUGGAUGCCCUGGCAGUCAGAGGCGAUGAAGGACGUGCUAAUCUGCGAAAAGCGUCGGUAAGGUGAUAUGAACCGUUAUAGCCGGCGAUGUCCGAAUGGGGAAACCCAGUGCAAUUCGUUGCACUAUCGUUAACUGAAUACAUAGGUUAACGAGGCGAACCGGGGGAACUGAAACAUCUAAGUACCCCGAGGAAAAGAAAUCAACCGAGAUUCCCCCAGUAGCGGCGAGCGAACGGGGAGCAGCCCGGAGUCUGAAUCAGCUUGUGUGUUAGUGGAAGCGUCUGGAAAGUCGCAGGGUACAGGGUGAUACUCCCGUACACUAAAACACACAGGCUGUGAACUCGAAGAGUAGGGCGGGACACGUGGUAUCCUGUCUGAAUAUGGGGGGACCAUCCUCCAAGGCUAAAUACUCCUGACUGACCGAUAGUGAACCAGUACCGUGAGGGAAAGGCGAAAAGAACCCCGGCGAGGGGAGUGAAAAAGAACCUGAAACCGUGUACGUACAAGCAGUAGGAGCCCACUAGUUGGGUGACUGCGUACCUUUUGUAUAAUGGGUCAGCGACUUAUAUUCUGUAGCAAGGUUAACCGUAUAGGGGAGCCGCAGGGAAACCGAGUCUUAACUGGGCGUUAAGUUGCAGGGUAUAGACCCGAAACCCGGUGAUCUAGCCAUGGGCAGGUUGAAGGUUGGGUAACACUAACUGGAGGACCGAACCGACUAAUGUUGAAAAAUUAGCGGAUGACUUGUGGCUGGGGGUGAAAGGCCAAUCAAACCGGGAGAUAGCUGGUUCUCCCCGAAAGCUAUUUAGGUAGCGCCUCGUGAACUCAUCUUCGGGGGUAGAGCACUGUUUCGGCUAGGGGGUCAUCCCGACUUACCAACCCGAUGCAAACUACGAAUACCGAAGAAUGUUAUCACGGGAGACACACGGCGGGUGCUAACGUCCGUCGUGAAGAGGGAAACAACCCAGACCGCCAGCUAAGGUCCCAAAGUCAUGGUUAAGUGGGAAACGAUGUGGGAAGGCCCAGACAGCCAGGAUGUUGGCUUAGAAGCAGCCAUCAUUUAAAGAAAGCGUAAUAGCUCACUGGUCGAGUCGGCCUGCGCGGAAGAUGUAACGGGGCUAAACCAUGCACCGAAGCUGCGGCAGCGACACUAUGUGUUGUUGGGUAGGGGAGCGUUCUGUAAGCCGUUGAAGGUGGCCUGUGAGGGUUGCUGGAGGUAUCAGAAGUGCGAAUGCUGACAUAAGUAACGAUAAUGCGGGUGAAAAACCCGCACGCCGGAAGACCAAGGGUUCCUGUCCAACGUUAAUCGGGGCAGGGUGAGUCGACCCCUAAGGCGAGGCCGAAAGGCGUAGUCGAUGGGAAACAGGUUAAUAUUCCUGUACUUGGUGUUACUGCGAAGGGGGGACGGAGAAGGCUAUGUUGGCCGGGCGACGGUUGUCCCGGUUUAAGCAUGUAGGCGGAUGUUCCAGGUAAAUCCGGAACGUCACUAACGCUGAGGUGUGAUGACGAGGCACUACGGUGCUGAAGUGACAAAUGCCCUGCUUCCAGGAAAAGCCUCUAAGCAUCAGGUAACAUCAAAUCGUACCCCAAACCGACACAGGUGGUCAGGUAGAGAAUACCAAGGCGCUUGAGAGAACUCGGGUGAAGGAACUAGGCAAAAUGGUGCCGUAACUUCGGGAGAAGGCACGCUGAUGGUAAGUGAAGUGACUUGCUCAUGGAGCUGAAAUCAGUCGAAGAUACCAGCUGGCUGCAACUGUUUAUUAAAAACACAGCACUGUGCAAACACGAAAGUGGACGUAUACGGUGUGACGCCUGCCCGGUGCCGGAAGGUUAAUUGAUGGGGUUAUCCUCACGGAGAAGCUCUUGAUCGAAGCCCCGGUAAACGGCGGCCGUAACUAUAACGGUCCUAAGGUAGCGAAAUUCCUUGUCGGGUAAGUUCCGACCUGCACGAAUGGCGUAAUGAUGGCCAGGCUGUCUCCACCCGAGACUCAGUGAAAUUGAACUCGCUGUGAAGAUGCAGUGUACCCGCGGCAAGACGGAAAGACCCCGUGAACCUUUACUAUAGCUUGACACUGAACACUGGUCCUUGAUGUGUAGGAUAGGUGGGAGGCUUUGAAGUGUGGACGCCAGUCUGCAUGGAGCCAUCCUUGAAAUACCACCCUUUAAUGGCUGGUGUUCUAACGUGGGCCCCUAAUCGGGGUUGCGGACAGUGUCUGGUGGGUAGUUUGACUGGGGCGGUCUCCUCCUAAAGAGUAACGGAGGAGCACGAAGGUCAGCUAAUCCUGGUCGGACAUCAGGAGGUUAGUGCAAUGGCAUAAGCUGGCUUGACUGCGAGCGUGACGGCGCGAGCAGGUGCGAAAGCAGGUCAUAGUGAUCCGGUGGUUCUGAAUGGAAGGGCCAUCGCUCAACGGAUAAAAGGUACUCCGGGGAUAACAGGCUGAUACCGCCCAAGAGUUCAUAUCGACGGCGGUGUUUGGCACCUCGAUGUCGGCUCAUCACAUCCUGGGGCUGAAGUAGGUCCCAAGGGUAUGGCUGUUCGCCAUUUAAAGUGGUACGCGAGCUGGGUUUAGAACGUCGUGAGACAGUUCGGUCCCUAUCUGCCGUGGGCGCUGGAGAAUUGAGGGGGGCUGCUCCUAGUACGAGAGGACCGGAGUGGACGCAUCACUGGUGUUCGGGUUGUCAUGCCAAUGGCAUUGCCCGGUAGCUAAAUGCGGAAGAGAUAAGUGCUGAAAGCAUCUAAGCACGAAACUUGCCCCGAGAUGAGUUCUCCCUGACUCCUUGAGAGUCCUGAAGGAACGUUGAAGACGACGACGUUGAUAGGCCGGGUGUGUAAGCGCAGCGAUGCGUUGAGCUAACCGGUACUAAUGAACCGUGAGGCUUAACCUU
RNAcentral lists this ribosomal RNA (2906 nucleotides) under Klebsiella oxytoca. Its description in RNAcentral is "23S ribosomal RNA". It matches the Rfam family "Bacterial large subunit ribosomal RNA". The record is from RNAcentral. Lineage: Bacteria; Pseudomonadati; Pseudomonadota; Gammaproteobacteria; Enterobacterales; Enterobacteriaceae.